This 292-nucleotide ribosomal RNA is filed under the name uncultured Pseudomonas sp. RNAcentral describes it as "partial 16S ribosomal RNA". It matches the Rfam family "Bacterial small subunit ribosomal RNA", at positions 1095 to 1382 of the family's 1533-position model. Lineage: Bacteria; Pseudomonadati; Pseudomonadota; Gammaproteobacteria; Pseudomonadales; Pseudomonadaceae. The record is from RNAcentral.
GACGCAACCCUUGUCCUUAGUUACCAGCACGUUAUGGUGGGCACUCUAAGGAGACUGCCGGUGGACAAACCGGAGGAAAGGUAGGGGAGUGACGUCAAGUCAUCAUGGCCCUUACGGCCUGGGCUACACACGUGCUACAAUGGUCGGUACAAAGGGUUGCCAAGCCGCGAGGUGGAGCUAAUCCCAUAAAACCGAUCGUAGUCCGGAUCGCAGUCUGCAACUCGACUGCGUGAAGUCGGAAUCGCUAGUAAUCGUGAAUCAGAAUGUCACGGUGAAUACGUUCCCGGGCCUU